Molecule: long non-coding RNA, 121 nt
Organism: Sinocyclocheilus grahami
Lineage: Eukaryota; Metazoa; Chordata; Actinopteri; Cypriniformes; Cyprinidae
Exons: 3
Source: RefSeq, a predicted model, not a curated record
UCAGAUCACGCGUGUAGCAGGAACACGCUCACGGCGGUCAGAUCACGCGUGUAGCAGGAACACGCUCACGACGGUCAGAUCACGCGUAUAGCAGGAACACGCUCGCGGAGGUCAGAUCACG